AGAGUUUGAUCCUGGCUCAGGACGAACGCUGGCGGCGUGCCUAAUACAUGCAAGUCGAGCGGACCGACGGGAGCUUGCUCCCUUAGGUCAGCGGCGGACGGGUGAGUAACACGUGGGUAACCUGCCUGUAAGACUGGGAUAACUCCGGGAAACCGGGGCUAAUACCGGAUGCUUGAUUGAACCGCAUGGUUCAAUCAUAAAAGGUGGCUUUUAGCUACCACUUGCAGAUGGACCCGCGGCGCAUUAGCUAGUUGGUGAGGUAACGGCUCACCAAGGCGACGAUGCGUAGCCGACCUGAGAGGGUGAUCGGCCACACUGGGACUGAGACACAGCCCAGACUCCUACGGGAGGCAGCAGUAGGGAAUCUUCCGCAAUGGACGAAAGUCUGACGGAGCAACGCCGCGUGAGUGAUGAAGGUUUUCGGAUCGUAAAACUCUGUUGUUAGGGAAGAACAAGUACCGUUCGAAUAGGGCGGUACCUUGACGGUACCUAACCAGAAAGCCACGGCUAACUACGUGCCAGCAGCCGCGGUAAUACGUAGGUGGCAAGCGUUGUCCGGAAUUAUUGGGCGUAAAGCGCGCGCAGGCGGUUUCUUAAGUCUGAUGUGAAAGCCCCCGGCUCAACCGGGGAGGGUCAUUGGAAACUGGGGAACUUGAGUGCAGAAGAGGAGAGUGGAAUUCCACGUGUAGCGGUGAAUGCGUAGAGAUGUGGAGGAACACCAGUGGCGAAGGCGACUCUCUGGUCUGUAACUGACGCUGAGGCGCGAAAGCGUGGGGAGCGAACAGGAUUAGAUACCCUGGUAGUCCACGCCGUAAACGAUGAGUGCUAAGUGUUAGAGGGUUUCCGCCCUUUAGUGCUGCAGCAAACGCAUUAAGCACUCCGCCUGGGGAGUACGGUCGCAAGACUGAAACUCAAAGGAAUUGACGGGGGCCCGCACAAGCGGUGGAGCAUGUGGUUUAAUUCGAAGCAACGCGAAGAACCUUACCAGGUCUUGACAUCCUCUGACAACCCUAGAGAUAGGGCUUCCCCUUCGGGGGCAGAGUGACAGGUGGUGCAUGGUUGUCGUCAGCUCGUGUCGUGAGAUGUUGGGUUAAGUCCCGCAACGAGCGCAACCCUUGAUCUUAGUUGCCAGCAUUCAGUUGGGCACUCUAAGGUGACUGCCGGUGACAAACCGGAGGAAGGUGGGGAUGACGUCAAAUCAUCAUGCCCCUUAUGACCUGGGCUACACACGUGCUACAAUGGGCAGAACAAAGGGCAGCGAAGCCGCGAGGCUAAGCCAAUCCCACAAAUCUGUUCUCAGUUCGGAUCGCAGUCUGCAACCCGACUGCGUGAAGCUGGAAUCGCUAGUAAUCGCGGAUCAGCAUGCCGCGGUGAAUACGUUCCCGGGCCUUGUACACACCGCCCGUCACACCACGAGAGUUUGUAACACCCGAAGUCGGUGAGGUAACCUUUUGGAGCCAGCCGCCGAAGGUGGGACAGAUGAUUGGGGUGAAGUCGUAACAAGGUAACC
This 1510-nucleotide ribosomal RNA is filed under the name Bacillus licheniformis. Its description in RNAcentral is "bacterial SSU rRNA". It matches the Rfam family "Bacterial small subunit ribosomal RNA". The record is from RNAcentral. Lineage: Bacteria; Bacillati; Bacillota; Bacilli; Caryophanales; Bacillaceae.